UUCCAGGUUGAUCCUGCCGGAGGCGACACGUAUUGGAGUUCGAUUAAGCCAUGCGAGUCGAGAGCUUACGGAGCUCGGCAUACUGCUCAGUAACACGUGGAUAACCUGCCCUGUGCUCCGGGAUAACCUCGGGAAACUGAGAAUAAUACCGGAUAGUCCACCACGCCUGGAACGGUGGGUGGAUCAAAGGUCACGGCACAGGAUGGGUCUGCGGCGUAUCAUGUUGUAAGGGGUGUAAAGGACCCCCAUAACCAUUGACGCAUACGGGUAGUGGGAGCAAACGCCCGGAGAUGGAUUCUGAGACACGAAUCCAGACCCUACGGGGUGCAGCAGGACGCGAAAACUACACACUGCAGGAAACUGUGAUGAGGGAACUCCCAAGUGCAUGCACAAUGUGUAUGCUUUCCCUAACUUAAAAUCGGUUAGGGCAUAAGGGCUGGGAAAAGACGGUGACAACCGACGCGGUAAUACCGGCAGUCAAGUGGUCGUCGAUGAAAUCGAGCCUAAAACGUCCGAAGCCUGUUAGGAAAAUCUGUGGGUAAAUCAACCAGAUUAAAAGGUCGAAUACUGCAAGACCUGCCGAAUACGACCAGGAGAGGUGUGG
RNAcentral lists this ribosomal RNA (604 nucleotides) under uncultured euryarchaeote. Its description in RNAcentral is "bacterial SSU rRNA". It matches the Rfam family "Archaeal small subunit ribosomal RNA", at positions 1 to 613 of the family's 1478-position model. Lineage: Archaea; Methanobacteriati; Methanobacteriota. The record is from RNAcentral.